This 83-nucleotide non-coding RNA is filed under the name Woeseia oceani. RNAcentral's name for it is "c-di-GMP sequence". It matches the Rfam family "c-di-GMP-I riboswitch aptamer". Rfam says of the family: GEMM was predicted in a large-scale screen for bacterial structured RNA regulatory elements. Genes associated with GEMM are involved in a diverse array of functions, including chemotaxis regulation, signal transduction, secretion and chitin. The record is from RNAcentral. Lineage: Bacteria; Pseudomonadati; Pseudomonadota; Gammaproteobacteria; Woeseiales; Woeseiaceae.
AAUUGACAAAGGCACACCUGUCGAAAGUCAGGGUCGCAAAGCCACCGGUCUAAGGGGAAACCUACGACAGCGGGGUUGCCAAC